GGGGGGUGCUAAUACAUGCAAGUCGAGCGAAUGGAUUAAGAGCUUGCUCUUAUGAAGUUAGCGGCGGACGGGUGAGUAACACGUGGGUAACCUGCCCAUAAGACUGGGAUAACUCCGGGAAACCGGGGCUAAUACCGGAUAACAUUUUGCGCCGCAUGGCGCGAAAUUGAAAGGCGGCUUCGGCUGUCACUUAUGGAUGGACCCGCGUCGCAUUAGCUAGUUGGUGAGGUAACGGCUCACCAAGGCAACGAUGCGUAGCCGACCUGAGAGGGUGAUCGGCCACACUGGGACUGAGACACGGCCCAGACUCCUACGGGAGGCAGCAGUAGGGAAUCUUCCGCAAUGGACGAAAGUCUGACGGAGCAACGCCGCGUGAGUGAUGAAGGCUUUCGGGUCGUAAAACUCUGUUGUUAGGGAAGAACAAGUGCUAGUUGAAUAAGCUGGCACCUUGACGGUACCUAACCAGAAAGCCACGGCUAACUACGUGCCAGCAGCCGCGGUAAUACGUAGGUGGCAAGCGUUAUCCGGAAUUAUUGGGCGUAAAGCGCGCGCAGGUGGUUUCUUAAGUCUGAUGUGAAAGCCCACGGCUCAACCGUGGAGGGUCAUUGGAAACUGGGAGACUUGAGUGCAGAAGAGGAAAGUGGAAUUCCAUGUGUAGCGGUGAAAUGCGUAGAGAUAUGGAGGAACACCAGUGGCGAAGGCGACUUUCUGGUCUGUAACUGACACUGAGGCGCGAAA
This 738-nucleotide ribosomal RNA is filed under the name Bacillus anthracis (anthrax bacterium). RNAcentral describes it as "bacterial SSU rRNA". It matches the Rfam family "Bacterial small subunit ribosomal RNA", at positions 39 to 758 of the family's 1533-position model. The record is from RNAcentral. Lineage: Bacteria; Bacillati; Bacillota; Bacilli; Caryophanales; Bacillaceae.